GGUUCAUGCUCCCAGAUUAAGGAUCUCUGUCCUUAAUGUGUUUAACUAUGAAACUCAAAAACAACACUACUAGUCGAACAAUACCCUAGACCUGGUUUGGUUGUGUGAGUGUAGCCUGUUGAAAUCCCUGCUUAGAUUAUACUAAGUGGAUCUUCAGUAUAUGAAGGCACAGGUGCGAGUCUAUUGGACACAUGCUCACCAUGUGCAGGAACACAGACCUGACACCGCGUAAAGAACUUGAAGUAUCUCAAAUGCCAUGAUUGAUGUCUACUCAAAAAGUCUGAAAAGAAUGCUGUAGGUUCCCAUUCUGGUGCAGAACACAGAUGUGACCAUUGGGAAUCGCACAGCAGACCCCAGAAAAAAAUGGUAAAAUGUGUCCAGUCAUCAAAAUGCAUCUUCAAGGAUCUAUACUUUUUCCUGUAGCAAUGAACUCUCUCUCCCCUAAGUUCUCAGCACCCAGGUAGGCAGCAACCUCCUACAUAAAACUGCAUUCAGGAAACAAAAACAAACUUUGAAGUGAAUGUAACUCACUCUGUAACUACAAAGGUUUUAUUCUGGAGUUGAACUGGAGGGAUUUGGUGCCAGUUCAAAGGAUUCCAAGGAUAAAACAGUAAGAGAGGACUUUAUGAUUAGUGUUGUCUCUCGUUGCCACGCAGGCAAUCAUCUCUUCUGUGAAGAGUUUUACCCCCAUCUAGAAAGGGGCAGUUGAACAGGCCAUUCCCAUCAGGGUGUUCUGAGAUGGUACUUGACUCAGCUUCCAGCCCCCUCCAUAAGCAGAUGUUUGCACCAAUCUGAUCUGACCAUCACAGCUCCAGGAGCCAAUGGUAUCAUCUUAACAAGUUAGCCCUGGGCAUCCCGAGAGUCCUAAAACUGUCAGUUUCAUCGGUAUUGUUUCUAUUCAAUUCUGGUUCUACUCAUGUCCUUAUUUAAUCAUUUCCAUACCAAUUUAACACACGCUGGUUAACUUCUCAUCUUAGGCUCAGGAGAUGGCCCCAUGUUCACUGCUCCAAACAGAGUAGCAAAGGCCUGUGUGCUCUUAGACUUACAUAAACUCACCUCGGAAACCCGGAAACGCAUACCUCAGCUAAGAGUGCUUGAAUUGGGGGCCUGGCUCUGAUCCUAAUUCCAGUUGCCUACCAAUGCCCUAGAAGG
Molecule: non-coding RNA, 1152 nt
Organism: Oryctolagus cuniculus (rabbit)
Lineage: Eukaryota; Metazoa; Chordata; Mammalia; Lagomorpha; Leporidae
Source: RefSeq, a predicted model, not a curated record